GAUCCCGUAGCUCAGUCGGCAGAGCACCUGACUUUUAAUCAGGUUGUCGCGCGUUCGAUUCGCGCCGGGAUCA
RNAcentral lists this transfer RNA (73 nucleotides) under Wolbachia sp. RNAcentral's name for it is "tRNA-Lys". It matches the Rfam family "tRNA". From Rfam's summary of the family: Transfer RNA (tRNA) molecules are approximately 80 nucleotides in length. The record is from RNAcentral. RNAcentral also lists the same sequence under 1 other name. Lineage: Bacteria; Pseudomonadati; Pseudomonadota; Alphaproteobacteria; Rickettsiales; Anaplasmataceae.